UUGCUGGAGGAAGGUACACAGGGUGAAGCU
This 30-nucleotide non-coding RNA is filed under the name Homo sapiens (human). The record is from RNAcentral. Lineage: Eukaryota; Metazoa; Chordata; Mammalia; Primates; Hominidae.